This is a long non-coding RNA of Lycium barbarum (goji berry), 473 nucleotides long. RefSeq lists it as uncharacterized. NCBI's taxonomy places the organism in Eukaryota, Viridiplantae, Streptophyta, Magnoliopsida, Solanales, Solanaceae. The transcript is spliced from 3 exons. The record is from RefSeq and is a predicted model, not a curated record.
UUGCCCCUCUUUCAUUAUAUCAUAACGAUUAAGUCCUAAUCUAACCCAUCUCCCCGCCUUUCUUCCAACAUCGAUUUCAAGCAAACAAAUGUGACUUUUCAACUUUUUUGUUGAAGGAUUAAAGGAAUAGCUCAUCAAGGGCAUGGGAUUCGUGGCAGGUCUACUUCUUCUUUACAUGAGUGAAGAAGAUGCAUUUUGUUUCCUGGUUGCAUUGUUGAAGGGAGCCGUUCACACUCCUACGGAAGGUACUUGUAAAUACUUGUGAUAAACCAAUCAGUUAAGAAUCGAUAUGUGAGAAUCAAAAUACCAAGUUGUUAUGCAGUAAAUGACAUUGAAUCAUGACAACAAUACGAAAAGGAGCUUUUUCUUUACUUAUUGUGGCUUAUGCAAACUCCUCAAUCCUUUAUCACCAAACUUCUGUGCUGAGCUUUAAAGGAUUGCAUAAUAUCAUUUCCUUAUAUGUUGCUAGCGCU